This 450-nucleotide ribosomal RNA is filed under the name uncultured bacterium. RNAcentral describes it as "partial 16S ribosomal RNA". It matches the Rfam family "Bacterial small subunit ribosomal RNA", at positions 328 to 794 of the family's 1533-position model. The record is from RNAcentral.
CUCCCAGACUCCUACGGGAGGCAGCAGUGGGGGAUAUUGCACAAUGGGGGGAACCCUGAUGCAGCGACGCCGCGUGGGUGAAGGAGCGUUUCGGCGCGUAAAGCCCUAUCGGCAGGGAAGAAGGAGGACGGUACCUGACUAAGAAGCCCCGGCUAACUACGUGCCAGCAGCCGCGGUAAUACGUAGGGGGCAAGCGUUAUCCGGAUUUACUGGGUGUAAAGGGGGCGCAGACGGCAGCGCAAGCCAGGAGUGAAAGCCCGGGGCCCAACCCCGGGACUGCUCUUGGAACUGCGCGGCUGGAGUGCAGGAGGGGCAGGCGGAAUUCCUGGUGUAGCGGUGAAAUGCGUAGAUAUUAGGAGGAACAUCAGUGGCGAAGGCGACUUUCCGGACUGUAACUGACGCUGAGGCACGAAAGUGUGGGGAGCAAACAGGAUUAGAUACCCGCGUAAA